GGGGUUGUGGCUCAGUGGUAGAGCACUCACUUAGACUGUGUGAGGCACUGGGUUCAAUCCUCAGCACCACA
RNAcentral lists this transfer RNA (71 nucleotides) under Marmota monax (woodchuck). RNAcentral's name for it is "tRNA.Ser". It matches the Rfam family "tRNA". Rfam says of the family: Transfer RNA (tRNA) molecules are approximately 80 nucleotides in length. The record is from RNAcentral. Lineage: Eukaryota; Metazoa; Chordata; Mammalia; Rodentia; Sciuridae.